Molecule: ribosomal RNA, 250 nt
Filed under: uncultured bacterium
Lineage: Bacteria
Description: partial 16S ribosomal RNA
Rfam family: Bacterial small subunit ribosomal RNA
Source: RNAcentral
GACGUAGGAUCCGAGCGUUGUCCGGAGUUACUGGGCGUAAAGCGCGCGCAGGCGGAAUCUCGCAUCGGCGGUGAAAGCCCCCCGCUCAACGGGGGAGGGUCCGUCGAGAUGGAGAUUCUGGAGGCAGGGAGAGGCCAGUGGAAUUCCGGGUGUAGUGGUGAAAUGCGUAGAGAUCCGGAGGAACACCAGUGGCGAAGGCGGCUGGCUGGACCUGACCUGACGCUGAGGCGCGAAGGCGUGGGGAGCGAAC